RNAcentral lists this long non-coding RNA (461 nucleotides) under Salvia miltiorrhiza (redroot sage). RNAcentral's name for it is "long non-coding RNA (SMIL_LNC008002)". The record is from RNAcentral. Lineage: Eukaryota; Viridiplantae; Streptophyta; Magnoliopsida; Lamiales; Lamiaceae.
CCGCCGCAGUCCGCGUUGGGGCAGUUUCUGGUGUUGAUGGAGAGGGUGAAGAGGAGAUUCGUCGUCACGUUCAACGGCACUUGGAUUGGGUGGUUUUUGUAGGCGAGGCUGCGGAGUCGGGCGGUGAAGUUCACUGAUGCGGCCGUGUCGGUGAAAUCGGGGAGGGUUGGGAGCAGUGGGGACGCCGGCGGGGUGUAGUUUCCGGAGUACUCGACGCGGGCGCUGGUGGUGGUGUUGUCGAAAUCUCCGGCGACGGCGUAGGCUCUAGAGGCCAUGUAGUAGUGGCUAGGGUUUUGGUCGGCGAGGAGGAGGAAGUCGAUGGUUUGGCCCGGGGAGAUGGCGAUGUAGUCGGAGGUGAAGGGCUUCAGGUACGCGCCGUCGGAGCCGACGAUGGUGACGUUGUGGCCGGCGAUUUUGAAGAACAUGAUGGUGUUCAUCACGGCGUUAACCAUUCGAAUUAG